Molecule: ribosomal RNA, 200 nt
Filed under: uncultured bacterium
Lineage: Bacteria
Description: partial 16S ribosomal RNA
Rfam family: Bacterial small subunit ribosomal RNA
Source: RNAcentral
ACUCCUACGGGAGGCAGCAGUGGGGAAUAUUGCACAAUGGGCGAAAGCCUGAUGCAGCCAUGCCGCGUGUGUGAAGAAGGCCUUCGGGUUGUAAAGCACUUUCAGCGGGGAGGAAGGCGAUAAGGUUAAUAACCUUGGCGAUUGACGUUACCCGCAGAAGAAGCACCGGCUAACUCCGUGCCAGCAGCCGCGGUAAUACA